Molecule: ribosomal RNA, 479 nt
Filed under: uncultured bacterium
Lineage: Bacteria
Description: partial 16S ribosomal RNA
Rfam family: Bacterial small subunit ribosomal RNA
Source: RNAcentral
GAUGAACGCUAGCGGGAGGCCUAACACAUGCAAGCCGAGCGGUAUUUGUUCUUCGGAACAGAGAGAGCGGCGCACGGGUGCGGAACACGUGUGCAACCUGCCUUUAUCUGGGGGAUAGCCUUUCGAAAGGAAGAUUAAUACCCCAUAAUAUAUUGAGUGGCAUCAUUUGAUAUUGAAAACUCCGGUGGAUAGAGAUGGGCACGCGCAAGAUUAGAUAGUUGGUGAGGUAACGGCUCACCAAGUCAAUGAUCUUUAGGGGGCCUGAGAGGGUGAUCCCCCACACUGGUACUGAGACACGGACCAGACUCCUACGGGAGGCAGCAGUGAGGAAUAUUGGACAAUGGGUUAGCGCCUGAUCCAGCCAUCCCGCGUGAAGGACGACGGCCCUAUGGGUUGUAAACUUCUUUUGUAUAGGGAUAAACCUACUCUCGUGAGGGUAGCUGAAGGUACUAUACGAAUAAGCACCGGCUAACUCCGUG